CCUACGGGAGGCAGCAGUGAGGAAUAUUGGUCAAUGGACGAGAGUCUGAACCAGCCAAGUAGCGUGAAGGAUGACUGCCCUAUGGGUUGUAAACUUCUUUUAUAUGGGAAUAAAAUGUUCCACGUGUGGGAUUUUGUAUGUACCAUAUGAAUAAGGAUCGGCUAACUCCGUUACAGCAGCCGCGGUAAUACGGAGGAUCCGAGUGUUAUCCGGAUGUAUUGGGUUUAAAGGGAGCGUAGGUGGAUUGUUAAGUCAGUUGUGAAAGUUUGCGGCUCAACUGUAAAAUUGCAGUUGAAGCUGGCAGUCUUGAGUACAGUAGAGGUGGGCGGAAUUCGUGGUGGAGCGGUGAAAUGCUUAGAUAUCACGAAGAAGUCCGAUUGCGAAGGCAGCUCACUGGACUGCAACUGACAGUGAGGCUCGAAAGUGUGGGUAUCAAACAGGAUUAGAUACCAGUC
This 455-nucleotide ribosomal RNA is filed under the name uncultured bacterium. RNAcentral describes it as "partial 16S ribosomal RNA". It matches the Rfam family "Bacterial small subunit ribosomal RNA", at positions 338 to 791 of the family's 1533-position model. The record is from RNAcentral.